RNAcentral lists this transfer RNA (60 nucleotides) under Lygodactylus capensis (Cape dwarf gecko). RNAcentral's name for it is "tRNA-Cys". The record is from RNAcentral. Lineage: Eukaryota; Metazoa; Chordata; Lepidosauria; Squamata; Gekkonidae.
GGGCGGUGGAGGCACAGCAAAAUGCAAAUUUGAAGAACCACCCCAUAAGGUGCCCCGGCU